Molecule: RNA transcript, 3009 nt
Organism: Xenopus tropicalis (tropical clawed frog)
Lineage: Eukaryota; Metazoa; Chordata; Amphibia; Anura; Pipidae
Exons: 21
Source: RefSeq, a predicted model, not a curated record
GCGAGAUUUCCCCCAAGGCGCCAUGACGCGUUACAGAGCUGCCUGUGGGAGUGACAGACGGGGGAGCUUACACUAGCUGAAGGGGCUAAACCCCUGGCACCCAAGAUUUCCUCUGAAAUUGUAAGUGAUUGAAUUUAACCUAAAGACCCUCUACCUUCACUAUGCCUAUAAGGGCCCAGCUGCAAGAGAGAAAGAGAAUGAGGCAUUGAGAGCAAGAGGAGUUCUACAUCUACAUCAUACUGGAAGUUACCAUAACGUUGAAUAUGACAUGCUGUUGUUGUUCCACAUUGGCCUCUUCCUCAUCCUCAUCUUCUGCAGUGACAGUUCCCCUUUAUAUCUGGCGGCAAGGCCUCACCCUCAGGCAGGAAACAAUGGCUUUAUAUUUCCAUCAGCCUUACCUCAGUGUUUUGCUGCUGGUGCAAGAUGUUACACAGCUUGGCACCCAUCUUGAAUCUCCUGUAUCAGGAAAGAAAGAUUAGAUCUGGUUAAACUGUCUAUGGAAGAUAAAGGCAAAGGAUCACAGGGGCAUGAUGGGAAAGAGACAGCUUCCCACAUUUGAAUCCUCAGUGAGAAGGAGCCAUGUGAGCGAGGGUUUGAUGCUCGGGCCGUGCAGCACUGGAUCUGCAGCAGAGGAGGAGUUCAGUGCAACACAGAGGAACACCCCUUGCGCCUUGGUACCUCACUCAUCAGAACCAGUGGGAUCUCUCUAUGGAAGAUAAAGGCACAGAAUCGCAGGUGCAUGAUGGGAAAGAGACAGAUUCCCACAUUUGAAUCCUGAGCGAGAAGGAGCCAUGUGAGCAAGUCGUAUUGUUUGAUGCUUUUGAACAACCCUAGCAGACUGUACCAACAUGCCCCCUGCAGACUGUACAUCAUUGCAAUCAUUCAAGCAUAGAUGAGAGUAUUAUGCACAUGUUGUAAAGCAUUUUGGCUCCCUGAAGUGCAUUGUCUACUAUGAAAGCCCAAGACCGGACCAAUGGGGGUGGCCCAGGGAGCCGCCUGAGGGAAAAUUUCUGCCCUGGCUGUUGAUGAUGUGACAUUUCUGGAGCUUUAAAAUUUGGCAGUGAGAUUGGGAACUAUUUUUGUGCGGCAGAAGGGGUACAGUCCAGCUCCAAAAAGUUGCCAUGGAAAGCAUACCUUUUGUAAAUCCAACCCAUGUAAAAACGGAGGCACCUGCUCUGUGACAUGAGGCUCCUUCAACUGCGACUGGGAUUUGGGGGCAAAAGACUGCUGGAUAGCACUGCAAUAUACAAACCAUUUCAAUGGGAGCAGCCUCCUGUCCUGUGAUUUUAAGAACGAUUUGAAAAUCUCCGUUCCUUUUUUUUCUGGGUUUUGUGGGCGUUUAGAUCACGCAGGGCAGACGGGGUGUUGCUGCAGGCGCACGCAGGGCAAUACACCACUAUACUGUGCCAGCCGGGGCUCCAGCCAUACCUCCACCCUUCUCUUGGAUCAAAUGUGAGCGAAUGAUGGGAAGUAGCACGACCUUCAAAUGGAGCUACGCGAUGUGCACAGUGGGUGUGAAAAGCGUUAUGUUAAAAGCAUCAACCAGGACUAUGGGAUCUAUCAGGAUACUAUGGAGAGAACUGCGUCAAUGUUUGCCAGCUAAACCCUUGUGAGAACAGAGGCGUUUGUCGGCACCAGGCCAGUGCCCCUAUGGGCUACACUUGUGAGUGCAGCAAGAAUCACAUUGGCCGGUACUGCGAGCACAGGAGUUUCAUUACCGCCCCAAAGGCAGUGAGACGUGUUUGCCUUGUGAUUGUUAUCCUAUUGGCUCCUCAUCAAGGGCAUGUGAUCAGGAAACUGGCCAAUGCUAUUGCAGACCUGGCCUGAUUGGACUGAUUUAUGAUGGUUGCCCCAAAACAUCAACAGCAGGAGUCUGGUGGCCCAGGACCAAGUUUGGCGUUCCUGCUGCAGUGCCGUGCCCACUCCCUUGCUGGCUCAAAGAGAAGGUUAAGCAUGUGUGGGUGCUCAUGUGUAUGAGCUAAGGCAGGGACUGCCAUCUGACACUGCUAUGAUUUCAAGGGUUGGCUGGAGCCAGAUCUGUUCAACUGCACUUAUUCGGCCUUUGUGGAGCUCUCUUCUAUGCUGGACGGCCUGGAGAGAAAUGAGACUGAACACAAUAGAAGCCAAGAAGCUCGCCUUGCGUCUGCGUUCAGUGACAGACCAGAUGUAUCAGUACAUCCACGAAGGGUUCAGGUUAACCGCCACACAGGAUGCACAAUUUACUGAGUGCUUAAUAUUGAGAGAGUGGAAAAUCAAAACUCUGCCAGGAGACAGUUCCCCAGAUACCACAGUCACCUUGUUCGGGGCCAAACUUUCUGGGAUCACCUUACUCAUGUGGUGCUGUCAGAGUCAGUCCUUGUGCCACCCAAGCCAAAAGGACCUAAAAUGCUGAAUAGUCGAAGUCCUGAAAGGCUUCUUCGAUGUUAUCUGCCAUUUCAGCACAAGGUCCUUUGGGCAGCGUUAGAUUGGCUGGCAGCUUGGUGUACUUCUCAUCAAAGUAGCUGACAUCCUCCGGUCCGUUGAGGCUGGGUACGAACGGGGCUGUUGCCUUCCCAUCAAUGAUGUCAUCCCAGGCUGUGUUCUGCAAACAGGCUGCUGUUGUUCCACAUUGGCCUCUUCGUCAUCCUCCUCAUCUUCUGCAGUGACAGUUCCCCUUUAUAUCUGGCGGCAAGGCCUCACCCUCAGGCAGGAAACAAUGGCUUUAUAUUUCCAUCAGCCUUACCUCAGUGUUUUGCUGCUGGUGCAAGAUGUUACACAGCUUGGCACCCAUCUUGAAUCUCCUGUAUCAGGAAAGAAAGAUUAGAUCUGGUUAAACUGUCUAUGGAAGAUAAAGGCAAAGGAUCACAGGUGCAUGAUGGGAAAGAGACAGCUUCCCACAUUUGAAUCCUGAGUGAGAAGGAGCCAUGUGAGCGAGGGUUUGAUGCUCGGGCCGUGCAGCACUGGAUCUGCAGCAGAGGAGGAGUUCAGUGCAACACAGAGGAACACCCCUUGCACCUUGGUACCUCACUC